UAUACAGCGAAACUGCGAAUGGCUCAUUAUAUAAGUUAUCGUUUAUUUGAUAGUGCCUUACUACUUGGAUAACCGUGGUAAUUCUAGAGCUAAUACAUGCUAAAAACCCCGACUUCGGAAGGGGUGUAUUUAUUAGAUACAAAACCAAUGCCCUUCGGGGCUCUUUGGUGGUUCAUGAUAACUAUACGAAUCGCACGGCCUUGCGCCGGCGAUGGUUCAUUCAAAUUUCUUCCCUAUCAACUUUCGAUGUUUGGGUAUUGGCCAAACAUGGUUGCAACGGGUAACGGAGGGUUAGGGCUCGACCCCGGAGAAGGAGCCUGAGAAACGGCUACUACAUCCAAGGAAGGCAGCAGGCGCGCAAAUUACCCAAUCCCGACUCGGGGAGGUAGUGACAAUAAAUACUGAUACAGGGCCCUUUCGGGCCUUGUAAUUGGAAUGAGUACAAUUUAAAUCCCUUAACGAGGAACAAUUGGAGGGCAAGUCUGGUGCCAGCAGCCGCGGUAAUUCCAGCUCCAAUAGCGUAUAU
This 526-nucleotide ribosomal RNA is filed under the name uncultured eukaryote. RNAcentral's name for it is "SSU rRNA". It matches the Rfam family "Eukaryotic small subunit ribosomal RNA", at positions 75 to 604 of the family's 1831-position model. The record is from RNAcentral.